GAUGAAGAACGGCAGUGAAAUGCGAUAAGUAGUGUGAAUUGCAGAAUUCAGUGAAUCAUCGAAUCUUUGAACGCACAUUGCGCCCUUUGGUAUUCCUUAGGGCAUGCCUGUUCGAGCGUCAUUUAAACCUUCAAGCUAAGCUUGGUGUUGGGUGACUGUCCGCUUCACGGCGGACUCGCCUCAAAAUUAUUGGCGGCCGGUACAUUGGCUUCGAGCGCAGCAGAAACGCGAACUCGGGCCCGUCGUAUUGGCUCCCAGAAGCUAUCUUCACAAUUUUGACCUCGGAUCAGGUAGGGAUACCCGCUGAACUUAAGCAUAUCAAUAAGCGGAGGA
This 333-nucleotide unclassified non-coding RNA is filed under the name soil metagenome. RNAcentral describes it as "partial contains 5.8S ribosomal RNA, internal transcribed spacer 2, and large subunit ribosomal RNA". The stretch from base 1 to 121 matches the Rfam family "5.8S ribosomal RNA", at positions 35 to 154 of the family's 154-position model. The record is from RNAcentral.